UACGAAGGGUGCAAGCGUUACUCGGAAUUACUGGGCGUAAAGCGUGCGUAGGUGGUUCGUUAAGUCUGAUGUGAAAGCCCUGGGCUCAACCUGGGAAUGGCAUUGGAAACUGGCGACCUAGAGUGCGGUAGAGGGUAGUGGAAUUCCCGGUGUAGCAGUGAAGUGCGUAGAGAUCGGGAGGAACAUCCGUGGCGAAGGCGACUACCUGGACCAGCACUGACACUGAGGCACGAAAGCGUGGGGAGCAAACAGG
RNAcentral lists this ribosomal RNA (253 nucleotides) under uncultured bacterium. RNAcentral describes it as "partial 16S ribosomal RNA". It matches the Rfam family "Bacterial small subunit ribosomal RNA", at positions 524 to 776 of the family's 1533-position model. The record is from RNAcentral.